CAGGGAAUCUUGGGCAAUGGGCGAAAGCCUGACCCAGCGACGCCGCGUGGGGGAUGAAGGUCCAAGGGCUGUAAACCCCUUUUCCGAGGGAAGAGAUAGGACGGUACCUCGGGAAUAAGCCCCGGCUAACUACGUGCCAGCAGCCGCGGUAACACGUAGGGGGCAAGCGUUACCCGGAUUUACUGGGCGUAAAGGGCGCGUAGGCGGCUGGUUAAGUCUCCUGUGAAAGCUCCAGGCUUAACUUGGAGAGGUCAGGGGAUACUGACUAGCUCGAGGACAGUAGAGGAAGGCGGAAUUCCCGGUGUAGCGGUGGAAUGCGUAGAUAUCGGGAGGAACACCAGUGGCGAAGGCGGCCUUCUGGGCUGUUCCUGACGCUGAGGCGCGAAAGCGUGGGUAGCAAACCGGAUUAGAUACCCGUGUAGUCC
RNAcentral lists this ribosomal RNA (425 nucleotides) under uncultured prokaryote. RNAcentral's name for it is "bacterial SSU rRNA". It matches the Rfam family "Bacterial small subunit ribosomal RNA", at positions 355 to 796 of the family's 1533-position model. The record is from RNAcentral.